UGGCUAGUUCCUCAGAUCUCACAGUCCAAUAUUAAUUUUCCUCACGUUUCGUUUGAAAUUUGAAUGGUACACAUCACUCUCCGUUUACAAGUCAACAAAACUUACUAAGGUUGCCAUAUGGACCAAAUCCAUGCUGCAUAUAAAUAGUUGGCAUAAACCGUCCUUAUUUUCCAUCUCAACAAACAAAAACAAGCAUCUCAUUCCCACUACAUAUAUCUUUCUCCCCCCUCUCUCCCGGCACGAUCCCAAACCAAAUCAAACCAAACAUACUCGAUAUUAUGGCCAGAUCACGUAUGAGUUUCGGGUUUGUUUUUCUAGCAUUAGUACUUAUAACAAGCACUGCUGUACAUGUCACAAAUGCACGCCCGAAUCCGGUGAAGGUGGACUCGGCCGCAAGUGUCGAAGUGGGAGGUUUCUUCGACGGAUUAGCUCUUGGUAGCAUGAAGCAGUCAGGGGGUUCUAGUUCUGGUGCAGGACAUAAAUAUAGCGUUAGUUCUCAAACUCUCGGAGGAAUUAAAGACUCAGGGCCAAGUCCAGGGGCGGGACACAGUUACGUUACAGACACAAAGAAUUAGAACUCCACUGGUCAAUUGUCAAUUGGCUGCUAUAUAUAUUAUUUCAUUGUUUCAUCACUUUCGUUUUUAUUUAGUAGUAUUAUAUAUACUUUAUAUACUUCAAUUGUAUUAGAGUACUAGGUGAUGGAAUACUUUGCAAAUUGCCACCAUUCAUUUACAUGGUUGCAUGUAUGAAACUAUGAACGAUUUUUCUAUGGUGUGCUCAUGGGCACACAUUAAGCACUAACUCUUAUUAGUUUGGUGCAUUUUUAUUGGUUAUCUAAUCAUAAAUAAGGAUGGCCCCCCUGCAUAUGCAUUAAGUCCACCAAUCAAAAUUCACCAAAUUUAUCAAAUUUAGUGCUUAAUGUGGCACACACUAGAAAGACCCAACUAUGAAUGCAUAUGGAUACAACUGCUCGACUCUGAAUUUGUUGGUGCAGUCUUUCGGAACAUCACGUGAAGCAUAUUAACGGGGAUUCUGUCUCCGACUUUGGCGCACAUUAAGUCUUGACUUGUGAAUUUAGACAAAAUAAUUAAGUUGCGAAAAAAACACUCGUGCUUAACAUUAUACGGCUUAACAAAAUAGAAACAAAAUAAUGAAACAACAACAAUAAUAAUAUAUAAAAAUUAUUCGCACUAGAUAUCCUACAUUAUAUGCACCUAUGUCCCAACAGAUUUUUAUUUUAUUUUUGAUACACAUUUUAAAACUCUCAUAAAAUAUAUAGUUUUAUAAUAUUUUAAAAAAUAUUUGAUUCUUAAAUUUUUAUUAAAAAAAAUAUUAAACAAUUAUAGAAGAUUCAAAAUACGUGAAAAAACAGACGUGGACUAAUUAUUUGUAUGCGGAUAUUAAUAAGACAUGUGAUUAUAAUGAUAUUGAUAAUUAAGAAAGUUUUUGAACUGGACCAAAAUUCUUGUCCUUUUUAAUAGCUACUAUUACCUGUUUUACGAAAAUUGCUCAAAAUUAUUAUAUCACGGAUACAGGUGUUUCUUAUAUCCAUUUUCUUCAUAGUUUUAUUCACUUAUCACGUAUGUUUUUAUAUUUAUUAAUUAAUUAAUUGUUAUAUUUAUUUACAGAUACGAGACCAGUUAUAAUUAUUUCAGAAUAUAUUUAUGAAUUAUACGGGAGAAAAUAUAUUAUCAUCGC
This 1698-nucleotide long non-coding RNA is filed under the name Daucus carota (carrot). RNAcentral describes it as "long non-coding RNA (DCAR_LNC002206)". Lineage: Eukaryota; Viridiplantae; Streptophyta; Magnoliopsida; Apiales; Apiaceae. The record is from RNAcentral.